UACAGGGGGGGCAAGCGUUGUUCGGAAUUACUGGGCGUAAAGGGUUCGUAGGUGGCCACUUAAGUCAGACGUGAAAUCCCUCAGCUUAACUGGGGAACUGCGUCUGAUACUGGAUGGCUUGAGUGCAGGAGAGGAAUGCGGAAUUCCAGGUGUAGUGGUGAAAUGCGUAGAUAUCGGGAGGAACACCAGUGGCGAAGGCGGCUUCCUGGCCUGUUCUUGACGCUGAGGCGCGAAAGCUAGGGGAGCAAACGGG
RNAcentral lists this ribosomal RNA (253 nucleotides) under uncultured bacterium. RNAcentral's name for it is "partial 16S ribosomal RNA". It matches the Rfam family "Bacterial small subunit ribosomal RNA", at positions 524 to 776 of the family's 1533-position model. The record is from RNAcentral.